UACGUAGGGUGCGAGCGUUUGUCCGGAAUUAUUGGGCGUAAAGAGCUCGUAGGCGGUGUGUCACGUCGGCCCGUGAAAACCUGCAGCUUAACUGUGGGCGUGCGGUCGAUACGGGCAUCACUGGAGUUCGGCAGGGGAGACUGGAAUUCCUGGUGUAGCGGUGAAAUGCGCAGAUAUCAGGAGGAACACCGGUGGCGAAGGCGGGUCUCUGG
This 212-nucleotide ribosomal RNA is filed under the name uncultured bacterium. RNAcentral's name for it is "partial 16S ribosomal RNA". It matches the Rfam family "Bacterial small subunit ribosomal RNA", at positions 524 to 732 of the family's 1533-position model. The record is from RNAcentral.